RNAcentral lists this ribosomal RNA (411 nucleotides) under Ochyrocera sp. 518 FL-2019. RNAcentral's name for it is "partial large subunit ribosomal RNA". Lineage: Eukaryota; Metazoa; Arthropoda; Arachnida; Araneae; Ochyroceratidae. The record is from RNAcentral.
CCUGCUCAAUGAAUAUAAAUAGCCGCAUUAACUCUGUGCUAAGGUAGCAUAAUAACUUGUUCUCUAAUUAAGAAAUAGAAUGAAAGGAAAAACGAUUUACGUUCUUUCUUAACUAUAUCAAAUUUAAAUUAUUACAAGAAUAAAAACAUUCUUACAUAAAAGAAAGACGACAAGACCCUAAAAACUUCAAUUUAAAAUUUAACUGGGGCAGUAUCAUAAAUAAACUUUAUAAAAUAUUUAACCUCCCAAGCUUAUAUUAGAAUCAUCUCAAGUUACUUUAGGGAUAACAGCGUAAUUUAUAUUUAUAGAUCCUAUAAAAAUAUAAGAUUGCGACCUCGAUGUUGAAUUAAUACUACUACGAUGAGCACAAACAUCUUUAAGUAAGUCUGUUCGACUUUUAACCUAUUACAU